AUUGAACGCUGGCGGCAGGCCUAACACAUGCAAGUCGAGCGAGCGGCGGACGGGUGAGUAAUGUAUGGGGAUCUGCCCGAUAGAGGGGGAUAACUACUGGAAACGGUGGCUAAUACCGCAUACUAUCGGAUGAACCUAGGUCGGAUUAGCUAGUUGGUGGGGUAAAGGCCUACCAAGGCGACGAUCCGUAACUGGUCUGAGAGGAUGAUCAGUCACACUGGAACUGAGACACGGUCCAGACUCCUACGGGAGGCAGCAGUGGGGAAUAUUGGACAAUGGGCGAAAGCCUGAUCCAGCCAUGCCGCGUGUGUGAAGAAGGUUUCGGGUUGUAAAGUACUUUCAGCGAGGAGGCGUUACUCGCAGAAGAAGCACCGGCUAACUCCGUGCCAGCAGCCGCGGUAAUAC
This 405-nucleotide ribosomal RNA is filed under the name uncultured bacterium. RNAcentral's name for it is "partial 16S ribosomal RNA". It matches the Rfam family "Bacterial small subunit ribosomal RNA", at positions 30 to 526 of the family's 1533-position model. The record is from RNAcentral.